GAUGAAGAACGCAGCGAAAUGCGAUAAGUAAUGUGAAUUGCAGAAUUCAGUGAAUCAUCGAAUCUUUGAACGCACCUUGCGCUCCUUGGUAUUCCAAAGAGCAUGCCUGUUUGAGUAUCAUUAAAUUAUCAACUGUACCAAUUUGGUUGCAGAUUGGAUGUGGGAGAUUUUGCAGGCUUUUGAUUUCUCUUUGAGAAAACGGUCAGCUCUCCUGAAAUAUAUUAGCAGUGCCUUUGUUGGUUCAUUAGGUGUGAUAAUUUAUCUACAUCUUCACAUGGUACCUUCAUUUGUGUAAAGGUCAUAUUGCUUCUAAUUGUCUUUGGACAUAAAAAAAAAAAAAACAUAUAAUUGUAUGGAAAACUUGAUCUCAAAUCAGGCAGGACUACCCGCUGAACUUAAGCAUAUCAAUAAGCGGAGGA
RNAcentral lists this unclassified non-coding RNA (419 nucleotides) under soil metagenome. Its description in RNAcentral is "partial contains 5.8S ribosomal RNA, internal transcribed spacer 2, and large subunit ribosomal RNA". The stretch from base 1 to 120 matches the Rfam family "5.8S ribosomal RNA", at positions 35 to 154 of the family's 154-position model. The record is from RNAcentral.